GUGCAGGAAUAGGGCAUUCGCGUUCUUGUUCGCCGAUGGCUCCAGUGAGGAACUGAGCUCGCUGCAGGCGGAGGAACUGGCUGGGCCGGUGCCCUUCGUCAUGGCUGGCGUCAGCUAGUUCAGAAUCGUUGGUCUAGCAGCAGCUAGGUGCCUAGGUAACAGCAGCUUGCACAGGUAUAGUGAAUGUGCCAUCUGUGAGAUCUAUGGUGAAAUAAUCUCAUAGUGAAUGCCAUAUCUUUGUGAUACAUUUAAGGGACCUGUGUAUAGUGAAUGCAUGUGUGAACUCCAUGUUCCUGCAACUCUGCAAGUAUCUAUGAUGAAAAACAAUUUAUGGUUUGAUUUGAUC
Long non-coding RNA from Panicum virgatum (switchgrass), 346 nucleotides. RefSeq lists it as uncharacterized. The transcript has 2 exons. NCBI's taxonomy places the organism in Eukaryota, Viridiplantae, Streptophyta, Magnoliopsida, Poales, Poaceae. The record is from RefSeq and is a predicted model, not a curated record.